RNAcentral lists this microRNA precursor (95 nucleotides) under Nicotiana sylvestris (wood tobacco). Its description in RNAcentral is "MIR6152 microRNA precursor family". It matches the Rfam family "MIR6152 microRNA precursor family". Lineage: Eukaryota; Viridiplantae; Streptophyta; Magnoliopsida; Solanales; Solanaceae. The record is from Rfam by way of RNAcentral.
UGGACAGAUUAUUGUAUUCGACUGUAUUCACGGCGUGAAACAUGGGAUUACACUGUUUUAAACGGAAAGUGAAUCAAUUAAUAUAAUAGACUCCU